UGAGAUUCAGCCCUUUGUCGCU
Molecule: non-coding RNA, 22 nt
Filed under: Arabidopsis thaliana (thale cress)
Lineage: Eukaryota; Viridiplantae; Streptophyta; Magnoliopsida; Brassicales; Brassicaceae
Source: RNAcentral